Molecule: long non-coding RNA, 2115 nt
Organism: Archocentrus centrarchus (flier cichlid)
Lineage: Eukaryota; Metazoa; Chordata; Actinopteri; Cichliformes; Cichlidae
Exons: 3
Source: RefSeq, a predicted model, not a curated record
AAGGGCACUUACAUUGUAAUAACAUGCGUUAUGGGUCGUUAUCCGUCAGUCAUAGCCUAUGUAUAAUAUCCAGAGUCAUUUAAAUAUGUGUGUGUGUUUAAACACAUGUGAUGUCUGAAAAACAGUUCAGCAUAUAAUAUCCCAAUUAGACCGUUUUGUGCUAUGCCUUUAUUGUGCGUUAAAGUCUAGUCCAUAUGCUACUCUCUUAAAAAAUAAAGUAGAUAAAUAAAAAUAAAAAUUCCCAACAAUUCCUUUAUAUGCAUUGUCCUGGUAGGCUAUUUUAAUGCGUAAACGGCGACAUGUAAACACAGGGACCAGCCGACUGUCAUUAUCAUUAUCGAUGCAAGACACACGUGCAGAGAAGAACCACGGAGCUUUUUUUUCUUUUUUUUUUGCGUACAUAAACAAUGAUCAAAGAUGGAGCGUGUCUCUUUUCGGAUGCCUCAAAUAUAGCCCACUGUGAUGCAGUCUCCAUGGCGACGGUCGUUUCCUCGGUAACCCCCCAGUCACGGUUACCAUGGCACCCUUGUUUCCACAGUAACAUCCCAGAUUGCUUGGAAGCAAUAUUGAAGAUUUUCAUCUUAAUGGGUUGUCUUCGGUCCGUAAUAAGGAUGUUUGGACAUCAUCCUUUGCGUGCAUAAAAAUACAAGCCCAAAUGCUCCCAUUACAGCGCCACCAGCUAAUCAGCAAGUUCCCCCAGUGACUUUAGUAAUGACACAAAAAGAAAUCCUAGCAAGGAGGUCUGUUAAUUACAACAGUGAACAGUCCUACAAAAGAUACAGGCACAAUACAGAUGGCUGCCAAGCCAGGAGAGGCCAAAGGAGCGGCGUCGCGUAAGGAAAUUGUGAAUGGACUGGGAGCGCAUUGUCUGGCUGUCCUGAGUGCGCUACUGUCGGCGCUCAGCAGAGGCUGCUGUUCUCCCACUGACAAAACUGGUGAACCCCUUUUCUGCUCAGACCUCCCGAAACCUGCAAUGACACCAAUUAGACUGCCUUCCAUUUAGGGGCGCAGUGACUCUGGUCUUCCUGUGGGGCCAGAUUGGCCAAGUUAUCAAUUGAGACAGAAAUCCCUCUGGAUUCAUUCAUCCUGCCCUGCCUUCUUGCUCAUGGCCAGUGCCCUCAAACCUGGAUUAACAAGUGGUGCCUACUAAUCACCCCGCCCCUUUCCAACGGACCACAGCUCAUUCCAAAAUGCAACAAAAUACAAUUUUGACAAGCAUAUAACGGACACUCAACGUACAGUUUUGUAGCUGCAGUUUUAAAGCUGCUUCUGUUCUGGAGUUAAUGCACUGUGAAUGGAACCAUCACAGGAUCGGAAGUGGUUCAGACAGUGACAGAAUUCAGCUGGAAUGGACUCUGACAUUUCUCCACACUGCUUUCUAUAUACACUUCAAAAGGAUAGAUGCAGGAAACAGAAAGCAAUUUUGCAAAGCACAUUUCACUUUACUGGAACAUACAAGGAGUUAUACAUUCUGUAUUCACCUUUCUGGGAAGUGAUAUUCAUCAUGGACGACAACCACCCAACAUUAAGACAGAAUUAGCAAAAGCCAAGGCCAUCCAUGAUUUACUGCUAUAAAACUGUGAUACAAAUCAAAGACUGUUAGUCAUUUGCCUUUGUUAGCUCUGUGUGCUCUGUAUUUGUAAUAUGUAAAACAAACGCAUAUGUACACGUGCUGGUUGCUGCUAUUCCCUUGACAUAUGGGUGGAGGACAAUACAAAGGCAUUCGCGCAGAUGCAAACACAGACACAUGCAGCACAUACACAUGCCUUUGGAUGGAUUUCUCCUUCCCAGAGUGCACUCUUGAUUUAUGGGAAAGGGCAAAAUGUUGUUAGGGGAAGGUUGUGGUUCCAGUAUUUGUUCUGUGUUAUUUUUGUGCUGUCUUAAACAUGACCCAUGUAAAGAGAGUCUGAGUUGUAUUGUCUUGAUUGUCUUAUUUUAUUUGUAUGUUUGUUUGUUUUUGAGAGAGCGAGAGAGAGAGAGAGAGAGAGAGGAGAAAAGUAGCCAAAUUGUAAAGGAAAUGGUACUCAUUUACAGUUGCAGGGAAAAGAUGUACUUCCCCCUUACUGAUACGCAAUGUUGGCUCAUUUUCCUCAAUAAAUUAAUGAACAAGUUUUA